ACAGAGGUCCCAAGCGUUGUUCGGAUUCACUGGGCGUAAAGGGCUCGUAGGCGGCCAACUAAGUCGGAUGUGAAAUCCCCAGGCUCAACUUGGGAACUGCAUCCGAUACUGGAAGGCUUGAAUCCGGGAGAGGGAUGCGGAAUUCCAGGUGUAGCGGUGAAAUGCGUAGAUAUCUGGAGGAACACCGGUGGCGAAGGCGGCAUCCUGGACCGGCAUUGACGCUGAGGCGCGAAAGCCAGGGGAGCAAACGGGA
Molecule: ribosomal RNA, 253 nt
Filed under: uncultured prokaryote
Description: partial 16S ribosomal RNA
Rfam family: Bacterial small subunit ribosomal RNA
Source: RNAcentral